This 72-nucleotide transfer RNA is filed under the name Ovis aries (sheep). It matches the Rfam family "tRNA". From Rfam's summary of the family: Transfer RNA (tRNA) molecules are approximately 80 nucleotides in length. Their secondary structure includes four short double-helical elements and three loops (D, anti-codon, and T loops). Further hydrogen bonds mediate the characteristic L-shaped molecular structure. tRNAs have two regions of fundamental functional importance: the anti-codon, which is responsible for specific mRNA codon recognition, and the 3' end, to which the tRNAs corresponding amino acid is attached (by aminoacyl-tRNA synthetases). tRNAs cope with the degeneracy of the genetic code in two manners: having more than one tRNA (with a specific anti-codon) for a particular amino acid; and 'wobble' base-pairing, i.e. permitting non-standard base-pairing at the 3rd anti-codon position. The record is from Rfam by way of RNAcentral. Lineage: Eukaryota; Metazoa; Chordata; Mammalia; Artiodactyla; Bovidae.
UCCCUGGUGGCUCAGAUGGUAAAGCGUCUGCCUGCAAUGCAGGAGACCCGGGUUUGAUUCCUGGGUUGGGAA